GUUAGGUGAGUGCUCUACCACUGUGCCACAACCACAGGCCCAUCUAUUUCUUAUUCACACAGAUAUACCAUAAUUUUAAUGCAUAUUUUAAUCUGCAAUUCUAAAAAUAUGAACAAUUCAGAUCUUUAAUAAACCUUACACAUGGGGUUUAAGUCCAUUAUAAUUUCUUCUGUCAUGAGAAACAUGUCUGCACUGAAGGUUUUCUUUUUUCUUUUUUUCCCAGUUCUGGGGACUGAACUCAGGAACACUACCACUGAACUACAUCCCCAGCUCUUUUUAUUUUUGGAUGUGGUCUCACUAAGUUGCUGAGACUGAUCUUGAACUUGUGAUCCUCUUGUCUCAGCAUCCUGAGUAUCUGAGAUUACAGGCAGGUACCACCACACCCUGCCUGCCCUGAAGAUUUUCUAUGUUUAUCUGAAAAAAAUUUUUUGAAUAUAUGUAGUGACAAUCUCUUUCCUGAGUUAACUCCUAACUCAUGCUUUAGCAGUCAGGGGAUUCACAUAAGCUAAAUGCAUUUCUCACAGAUUCUCUUAGCUAAGAAACUACCUCCUUAUUCUUUACUCCUAAUCUCAAUUGAAACAUUAUUUCCUUCAUUCAAACAACUAUAUAUCAAGCACUGGCUAUUUACCAGGCAUAGGUGAGAUUUCAGAGAUUCACCAGUAGGGCAUGCUUGGUGUGGCUGAACAGAAAUCAAGUUUGGCAUGGCUGGUAUAGAGUGAGAAUUUUGGGGAAAAUGUUUGGAAAAGUCGUCAAAGAGGCAGUCAAGAGCCAAAUCAUAUAGCAUGGGUAGGCAUUAUAAGAACUUUAGCUGUGAAUCAGUAGGGAAAACAUUGGGGAUUCUAAACAGAGAAGUAACAUGAUCUGAAUUAUUCCCAUUUAAGAUGAUCAAAUUGAACAUUAUGAGGAAUAUUUUAGUCUGUUGACUAAAGGAAGGUUUGUACCAGAAUGAUCUAAGGGAAUUGUUAAGAAGUGGUUGGGUUCUAGAUCUAUUUUGCUGAAAGACUCACACAUUAACUACAUUUAAUAGGGACUAUGAGAAGUCAGAGAUGACCAAAUUUAAUGGCUUGAGCAAUUAAUUACUAAAAUGGAGUUGUUAUUUACUGAGAUAGAACUAUGAGUGGAAGAAAAAUUUGGAGGCAAAGGUAGGAAAUUGAAUUCAAUUUUAGUGAUGUUAAGUUUGAGAUACUUAGUGGAUAACUGUGUAGAAUGGGAUGCAAUUGGAUAUACAGUGCCAGGAUUCAGUAAAAAGUUAAGGCCAGAGAUAAAUUCAGGAGCUACCUGAAUAUAGCUGUCAUUUACAGUUAGGAGUUAGGUGACAUCACUUAGUAGGUAUAGGGAGAGAAGAAAAGAGAAUUAAGGACUGGGUCCUGGGACACCUCAGCCUCAGACACUUCAAUAAUAGAAAAAAUGAAAAACUACAGACAAGAAACUUUGAAGGGGUCUAGAGAAGUAUGAGGAGAGCCAAGAAAAAGGGUUUUCUGGAAGCCAAGACGAGAUUUAAGAAUGAAGGAGAGUUCAACUCUGUCAAAUGCCAGUGUUAGUACUGAAAAGUGACUACUGGACUUAUGGAAAUCAUUGGUAGUUUUAUCAAGAACAAUGUCCAUGGAAUGUUGGGCAAGAAAUUCCUAUGGGUAUGCAUUUAAGAAGAAAAAAUGGGAAGGAAAAGGGUAGACAGUGAAUAAGAAUAACUUCCAUGGAGUUUUGCUACAAGAGAACAGAGAUAUCCAAGUUUUCCUAGAUUUCCAUUUGUGCUGACCAUCAAUCCAG
RNAcentral lists this long non-coding RNA (1767 nucleotides) under Marmota monax (woodchuck). Lineage: Eukaryota; Metazoa; Chordata; Mammalia; Rodentia; Sciuridae. The record is from RNAcentral.